GCCAGUGUGGUGUAGUGGUUUGAGUGCUGGACUAUGACUCUGGAGAUCAGGGUUCGGUUACCAGCUCAGCCA
This is a non-coding RNA of Phrynosoma platyrhinos (Desert horned lizard), 72 nucleotides long. The record is from the annotation of a GenBank genome assembly. NCBI's taxonomy places the organism in Eukaryota, Metazoa, Chordata, Lepidosauria, Squamata, Phrynosomatidae.